GCCGGAGUGGCGGAAUUGGCAGACGCGCCAGGUUGAGGGCCUGGUGAUCUUUACUGAUCGUGCAGGUUCAAGUCCUGUCUCCGGCA
RNAcentral lists this transfer RNA (86 nucleotides) under Planctomycetia bacterium. RNAcentral describes it as "tRNA-Leu". It matches the Rfam family "tRNA". From Rfam's summary of the family: Transfer RNA (tRNA) molecules are approximately 80 nucleotides in length. Their secondary structure includes four short double-helical elements and three loops (D, anti-codon, and T loops). Further hydrogen bonds mediate the characteristic L-shaped molecular structure. tRNAs have two regions of fundamental functional importance: the anti-codon, which is responsible for specific mRNA codon recognition, and the 3' end, to which the tRNAs corresponding amino acid is attached (by aminoacyl-tRNA synthetases). tRNAs cope with the degeneracy of the genetic code in two manners: having more than one tRNA (with a specific anti-codon) for a particular amino acid; and 'wobble' base-pairing, i.e. permitting non-standard base-pairing at the 3rd anti-codon position. Lineage: Bacteria; Pseudomonadati; Planctomycetota; Planctomycetia. The record is from RNAcentral.